CCUACGGGCGGCAGCAGUGGGGAAUAUUGCACAAUGGGGGGAACCCUGAUGCAGCGACGCCGCGUGAGUGAAGAAGUAUUUCGGUAUGUAAAGCUCUAUCAGCAGGGAAGAAGAGGACGGUACCUGACUAAGAAGCCCCGGCUAACUACGUGCCAGCAGCCGCGGUAAUCCGUAGGGGGCAAGCGUUAUCCGGAUUGACUGGGUGGAAAGGGAGCGUAGACGGCAGGGCAAGUCUGGAGGGAAAGCCCGGGGCCCAACCCCGGGACUGCUUUGGAAACUGCCAUGCUAGAGUGCUGGAGAGGUAAGCGGCAUUCCUCGUGUAGCGGUGAAAUGCGUAGCUCUUAGGAGGCACACCAGUGGCGCAGGCGGCUUACUGGACAGUACCUGACGUUGAGGCUCGAACGCGUGGGGAGCAAACAGGAUUCGCUCCCCUUGUAGUC
This 440-nucleotide ribosomal RNA is filed under the name uncultured bacterium. RNAcentral's name for it is "partial 16S ribosomal RNA". It matches the Rfam family "Bacterial small subunit ribosomal RNA", at positions 338 to 795 of the family's 1533-position model. The record is from RNAcentral.